UGUAGGGGAGAGUGUUCCAACUGCCAGAGCUCUCCAGGAUGGAGUGGCCUGCCUCUGGGGCUAGUAAAUCUCCUGUCACAAAAGGUGCUCAAGCAUAAGAUGGCCUUUAAGGUCUUUCCAGCCUGGAGACUCAGUGACUCCAUGACUCAGGAAUGACAGAUCCUCCUUCAGUCACUGGGAGAGAGUUGGGGACUUAGCUGUGUCUGGGGCUGGUGUAUCAGCUAUGUUCCACAGAGGCACAACCCCAAAUUCUAGAGCCAGCUCCACCCCCAUCCCCAUCCCCACCUCCACAAUGUCUGCUUUUGCCAAUAAAGGCAGCACUGUCCAGAAAGCACUUUUCAGAGACCAGAAAAUUCCUGAUUUUUGGCCAGAGCAAAGGGAGACCAGCUGGAGUUGCCCGCAGGGUCAUCAUAAAGAAGAUGGUUAAUGAAAUUGUCUAGAUGUUGCCUCUUCUCUGGCUUAAGUCAUCCCAGCUCUCUGGGGCUCCUCCUGCCAGCUGGGGGAGGGCUGAUGUGUUUCCUGCUGUUUGCAUCUCAGAGGGAUGAAGCAAUUUUGGAGAAAGAGUAUUGACCCUAAAUUCCAGUCAUACUUUCAUCUCCCUGUGGGGGGUUUCCAUUAUCUCUUUAGUAUAAAACACAUUAUUAAUGGAUUAUGCUUUCAGUAGGUAAAGGUCUUUUUAAAAACGAUUUUAAUAAUUCCAACCUGGAUUUCCUUUUCAGAAAUACUAUUUUCAUGGCUCUGGCUAUGAACAUCAGCAUAUAGAGGAUGGAUCACUACCAAAGAAGGCACCCAAAUGUGUCCGUCUCAUCCUGAGGAAACCCACUCAUCUGUACAUGUACUCAGCAAGUGUUUGCUGGCACCUGCUCUGAGUCACAGGGUGUGCUGGGUACUGGAUGCUCAGAGAUGUGGAAGGAGGCUGGACUUUCAAGGAUUAACAGCUGCAGGAAGAAAUGAGAGGAUCUCCGUAUUGAGGCCUUGGCUUCUAUGUCUGUUCUCGAAGUGGUUGGAGUGCGGAUUUCUGAUUCUGUGCCCAGCCUCUAGGGACACAGUACAUAUAUAUUGGGAACGGUGGUAGGUGAUUGAGGUACGUUACUUCCAGACAAAAACGUGCCUGCAGAGGGAUAGCAAAAGCAUCUUACAGUGGCAGAAGCCCUGUGUGCGCAGGUGUCAGUGUUCUUCAAUUGUUCAGGCAAACUCAGACCCUCUGCUUCUCUUAACUUGAGAUGCUAGUUUUCCC
This 1237-nucleotide long non-coding RNA is filed under the name Callithrix jacchus (white-tufted-ear marmoset). Its description in RNAcentral is "lncRNA (ENSCJAG00000081502.1)". The record is from RNAcentral. Lineage: Eukaryota; Metazoa; Chordata; Mammalia; Primates; Cebidae.